AGUGAACGCUGGCGGUAGGCCUAACACAUGCAAGUCGAACGGCGGCACAUUAAGAGCUUGCUCUUAGGGUUGGCGAGUAGCGGAUGGGUGAGGCAUACAUCGGCAUCUCUUUUUUCGUGGGGGAGACCGGGGGGAAACUUACGCUAAUACCUAAUACAUGUUACGGGUGAAAGCAGUGUGGCUUCGGACUUUGUGCGUUUGAAUGAGCCGAUGUCGGAUUAGCUAGUUGGCGGGGUAAAGGCCCACCAAGGCGACGACCCGUAGCCGGUCUGAGAGGAUGAUCGCCCACCCUGGAGCUGGACCGCGGUCACGGCUCCUGCGAGAGGCAGCAGAGGGGAAUAUUGGGCAGUGGGGGCGAGCCUGGUACAGCCAUCCCGAGUGUGUGAAGGAGGCCUUCGGGUUGUAAAGCCCGUUUGUUGGGAGAGAAACUCAGCCGGUUCAUAACCCGCUGUUCUGACGGUACCUAAAGAAUAAGCGCCGGCUAACUUCGUG
RNAcentral lists this ribosomal RNA (492 nucleotides) under uncultured bacterium. Its description in RNAcentral is "partial 16S ribosomal RNA". It matches the Rfam family "Bacterial small subunit ribosomal RNA", at positions 29 to 507 of the family's 1533-position model. The record is from RNAcentral.